AGACACACAUUGUGACCAGGCUCCAAAAAAAUAUGGUCAAAACUGACUUCUAAAGUGUGUUACCAAGGUUUUUCUUUGAUUUGGCCUGGUGACCUAGUUUUUUACCCCUGAUGUCCCAGUUGCAAACAUGACCUA
This 135-nucleotide small RNA is filed under the name Spisula solidissima (Atlantic surf clam). The record is from RNAcentral. Lineage: Eukaryota; Metazoa; Mollusca; Bivalvia; Venerida; Mactridae.